GUCCUUUGUUGUUCAGGUGAAGCACAGGGUGUGUUCUAGCCGCCGGGACUGGGGUUUCCUUUGGAGAAAAAAAGUUUUCUUGGUGUGAAGAGGAGCCCUUUAACCUGAUUAAACCUGGAGGAAUAACUCACAAGGCUUGAACGUAGUGGCCUGCUGUUCUUCGAUCUUGAGAGGGAACAAGAAGACAUCAGAUAUUAGACCACAGUCUGAACAAUUUGUUAGAAGAUGUGGAUCCCGAAUCGUCUCAAUGUAACCAGCUUCAUGUGACAUUGAUUCUUUCUGUAACCUACAUUUGGAAAUGUGGUGGAACUGAAAAGUGCAGAGGCGAGCAAAUUACUUGUGGAGUUAUUUAUCAAAAUGUCCCACACGGUGUCUUUCACCUUUCAGGACUUUGAGAAUGGAGAUCCUACCAGCCAAGACCUAAGUCCAUAUGAUGAAGGGGCCGUGCAUGAUUCCUUCCACCAGCUAAUUAAGGAGCAGAGCAGUUUGGCUGAGCAAGAGUUGGUGGAGAUGCAAGAUUUGACUACCAGGAGCAAAGAAAAUCUGGUUCAUCCCUCAGAUCCGACUGGAACUUGGAACCCAUAUGCACGGCUGGUUGAGCACCCUGAUUUCUCUUCCACCACAUUGCGCAUCCUUGCCAAUAUGCCCAGCCGGACUAUUGGGCGCAGCAGAGGAGCCAUCCUGUCCCAGUAUUGCAACCGCACUGCCAGGCGACGGCGACGGAGCAACCGUGCCCCUCUCCAGGAAGUAUCCCGUUCUGCACGGCCUAGUUUUCGAGAGCUGUCCCUAGAGUUGGAUUCCAGUUACAGAGAAGAAGACCCCAAGUAUAUUUUGCUGGUCAAAGAACUCCAGAACCUGCCAGUACAUCAACGCAAUCACAUGCUGCAGAUGAUGCCUCUAAGCUUGGCUGAGAAGCGCAGACUCAGGCAGGAUUCAAGCGGGCAUUCAGGCACCUUGAGGAAACCCAAGCCAACGGGUCGCUUGUCUUACUGCAGCUGGAUUAAAUACCACAUCCUAAUAGGCUUCCGGAAUUUUUGGUACAAUCUGCUGUCCUUCAUUCCUAUUCUCCAGCCCUGGCAUUAUUCCCUCAAGAAGAUCAGUGGCCGCUUUGGCUCUAGCAUCCUCUCCUAUUUCCUAUUCCUCAGGACGUUGCUCUUCUUCAAUCUCUUUAUGUUCCUGAUCCUGCUGGUCUUUGUAGUUGCUGUGCAGGCUGCUUUCCCUUCUGCCAUACCCAACAAUGUGGCUUUCACAGGAUCUGAGCUCUUAACUGGAGCAGGCUACUUCAGUCACACAGUGAUGUAUUAUGGCUACUACAGUAAUUUCACACUGAAUGCCCCUGAUGCUUCUGAAGCUAAUAGCACCCAUUACAGGCAACACACACAUAGCCAGAUGUCCUACAAUAUGCCUCUGGCUUACCUCUUUGUUACUGGAAGUGCCUUCUUUGGAAUCUGCUUUCUCUUGAUCUACAGUUUGUCUCACUCCUUUGGGGAAAGUUAUCGUGUAGGCAGUGCCUCAAGUAACCUGGCAGUCAAAGUCUUCUGUUCCUGGGAUUACAAAGUGAUUCAGAAACGCUCAGUCCAACUCCAGAGUGAGAACAUUCGCACACAUCUGAAGGAGUGUCUGGCUGAGCAGAGGCUGGAAUCCUGUUUAAGUUUUUCUAAGAAACUUCAGGAACUCGUGGUCUUGCUGGUGACCUGGACUGUAUCCCUGAGCACUGUUGCAGGCACUGCCAUUGGUAUACACUACUUUUCUAAAUACGUACAUCAGGUUCUGCAUGAGGAGAUUUUGAAAAACAACCAUGCUGGGAAAGAGUUGCUGCUCCUGGCCCUGCCUCUGGUUGUGUCUCUCAUUAACUUGCUUAUGCCCUAUUUUUACAACCUCCUGGCUGCGUGGGAGAAACAGGAAUCUCCAGUCCUGGAGGUGUACAUUGCCAUUACCAGGAAUUUAAUUCUCAAGACGAUCAUCUUGGGCCUACUGUCCUACCAUUGGUUGAGUUGGAAAGUGACAUCUUCAGAGAUUCAGUGCUGGGAAACCUUUGUGGGGCAGGAGCUCUACCGUUUGAUGGUGAUGGAUUUGAUUUUCAUUCUCCUGGAUGUCAUCUUUGGAGAGCUGAUAUGGAGGAUCAUAUUGGAAAAGAAGUUACAAAGUAAACAGAGGCCUGAAUUUGACAUUGCUAGAAAUGUGCUAGAUUUGAUUUAUGGUCAAACCUUAACCUGGCUGGGGGUUUUCUUUGCCCCACUUCUUCCUGUGGUCCAAAUCCUCAAAUUGCUGCUGUUGUUCUAUGUUAAGAAGGUCAGCUUGAUGAGAAAUUGUCAAUGUCCCAGCAAACCCUGGCGUGCAUCUCAGAUGAGCACCAUCUUCAUCUCUUUGCUGUGCUUCCCUUCAUUCCUGGGUGCCUCCGUAUUCCUCUCCUAUACUAUCUGGGCAAUAAAACCAUCAGAAAUGUGUGGACCUUUUCAAACUUUUGAUACCAUCUAUGAUUCUUGGAAGGCAUGGGUACUAAAGCUGGAAGAAUCCAAUCCAAAUAUCACUUGGUUUACCUGGAUCCAUCAAAACCUCUUCCAGACUUCCUAUUUCCUGUUGUUAAUCAUUGCAAUGUUGAUGGCUGUGAUCUACUUCACCAUUGAGAUGGUAAAGGGUCUUCGGAGUAUCAUUUCAAUACUAAAGGGUCAGAUUGCCAAUGAAAGAGAAGACAAGAAGUUUCUCAUUCAAAGACUUCAUAUUAUAUAUGAAAAAUGAAAGUACAACAGGGUGAAAAUGAGGUAAGGCCAUUUGGAACCAAUUAGGACAGGACAGGACAGCGAUAUGCCAAACAAUAGGACCCAAGUAGUUGGCUAAAAACUUUGCUCAAACUAGCCGAUAGGCUAUGCUAAAUCCACACAGCUAGUAGCCUCAUACCUUAUAGUUUAGUUUAGGAAUUCUGCAAUAGUUGUUUUGUUUUUUCCCUCUUUUCAGUAGACCAAAAUACCCAAGUGCAGUUACACGUUUCCCUAAGCCCCUUCCUUCAGUGUACAACACUGUAGCAAAUUACCAAAUUUUGUCUAGAAAAUUACAGGCUCUGAAGCAAAUAUAUUUCAGAGGAAGGCACAUUAGUCUUGUUUUUGUCACACACACACACAUAAAUGAGAAAGACUAUCUCCAUUAAACUUAAGAUAUUACACUGCCAUGAUUGCAGGAACUUUCUAUGGAAGGACGAUGACCAAAGCAGCAACAUGAACAGAUCCAUUUUACCUUAGCAUCUUUACCAGCGAAUGUACCAAGUGAACCUUUCGCUGAAGGACUUCUUAGGAAAAGGAGAAUAGAUAUGUGGCUAGCCAGAACAGGUUUGAUGAACAUGUUCAUGCUGCUGAAGACAUCUGACAUUGACGCCCUUCACUUCCUGCAUGUGAAUGUUAUCUACCUUUAGUUGAAGAAGUUAUAUUCUAACUGUUUGCUGGCCAUUCCAGUUUGUCUUCAGCCAAAUGGAAACCUUUCCUGAACCAGACUAAGAGCUUCUAGACUUCCUGAAGAUUUUUACAGACAAUUUUUAUAACAGAGAAUUCAAACUUAUAUUUUAUAAUGUGCAAUGAUCUAAGUACUUUGUUUUGCCAGGAUUAUGAAAUCUAUGACCUCACAUGGAAAGUGUAGAGUUACUGGAAUGAAAUCUUUCUUACAAAGGACCUCAUGGCUUAAUAUUAUUAAAAAUGAUUAUCUUUAAAAAGCUCUCUAGUUACCUAAGAGUAAAUUAUAUUCCCUUUUAAUUCAUUUGCUAUUAAUUGCCUAAGUGAUGGUGAACAGUUGUCAUUUGUUAAGUUCUCAUAGUGUGCAGUUACUCCAACAUGGUUGUGCAUGCCUACAUUUUAACUCAUAUCCUUUGAAUAUAUUUUCACUUCAGGUGUGAGCACUAAUCUGUAGAGGAAAUCUUAACUCUUUGCUACCUCAUCUUUUAUUUUCUUUGUGGAAUUAAGGUGUACAAUUAUGGGCCAUUUUUCACAAUUUCUACGUUCCAGACAGUAAAUAAAAACUGCAACUUUCUUUUUAGAA
This is a non-coding RNA of Pantherophis guttatus, 4023 nucleotides long. The record is from RefSeq and is a predicted model, not a curated record. NCBI's taxonomy places the organism in Eukaryota, Metazoa, Chordata, Lepidosauria, Squamata, Colubridae.